CAGCCGCCGCGGGAAUACGGAGGGAGCUAGCGUUGUUCGGAAUUACUGGGCGUAAAGCGCACGUAGGCGGCUUUGUAAGUUAGAGGUGAAAGCCUGGAGCUCAACUCCAGAAUUGCCUUUAAGACUGCAUCGCUUGAAUCCGAGAGAGGUGAGUGGAAUUCCGAGUGUAGAGGUGAAAUUCGUAGAUAUUCGGAAGAACACCAGUGGCGAAGGCGGCUCACUGGCUCGGUAUUGACGCUGAGGUGCGAAAGCGUGGGGAGCAAACAGGAUUAGAUACCCCCGUAGUCCCUGUCUCUUAUAC
RNAcentral lists this ribosomal RNA (301 nucleotides) under uncultured bacterium. RNAcentral's name for it is "partial 16S ribosomal RNA". It matches the Rfam family "Bacterial small subunit ribosomal RNA", at positions 509 to 807 of the family's 1533-position model. The record is from RNAcentral.